UGUAACGUGUAAACCGGCAGGACCGGCAA
This 29-nucleotide small RNA is filed under the name Bombyx mori (domestic silkworm). RNAcentral describes it as "ovarian small RNA-8878". Lineage: Eukaryota; Metazoa; Arthropoda; Insecta; Lepidoptera; Bombycidae. The record is from RNAcentral.